GACGAACGCUGGCGGCGUGCCUAAUACAUGCAAGUAGAACGCUGAAGGAGGAGCUUGCUUCUCUGGAUGAGUUGCGAACGGGUGAGUAACGCGUAGGUAACCUGCCUGGUAGCGGGGGAUAACUAUUGGAAACGAUAGCUAAUACCGCAUAAUAUUGACUAUUGCAUGAUAGUCAGUUGAAAGGUGCAACUGCACCACUACCAGAUGGACCUGCGUUGUAUUAGCUAGUUGGUGGGGUAACGGCUCACCAAGGCGACGAUACAUAGCCGACCUGAGAGGGGGAUCGGCCACACUGGGACUGAGACACGGCCCAGACUCCUACGGGAGGCAGCAGUAGGGAAUCUUCGGCAAUGGACGGAAGUCUGACCGAGCAACGCCGCGUGAGUGAAGAAGGUUUUCGGAUCGUAAAGCUCUGUUGUAAGAGAAGAACGAGUGUGAGAGUGGAAAGCUCACACUGUGACGGUAUCUUACCAGAAAGGGACGGCUAACUACGUG
RNAcentral lists this ribosomal RNA (495 nucleotides) under uncultured bacterium. Its description in RNAcentral is "partial 16S ribosomal RNA". It matches the Rfam family "Bacterial small subunit ribosomal RNA", at positions 28 to 507 of the family's 1533-position model. The record is from RNAcentral.